Molecule: long non-coding RNA, 402 nt
Organism: Cebus imitator (Panamanian white-faced capuchin)
Lineage: Eukaryota; Metazoa; Chordata; Mammalia; Primates; Cebidae
Exons: 2
Source: RefSeq, a predicted model, not a curated record
GAAGAUUUCCUGGAAAUGUUUUUGUUUGAAAACAAAUGUUUUUGUUUGAAAACCUCACUGCUCAGAGCUAAGAACAGAGGACGAGUCCCGCUAUUAAGGAAUAAACCUUGUGAAGCAGGCGGUGGUGGAAGCCACCGUCUGCUUCCUGUAUAGUGGAGAAUCUGAUUUGGGGUCUGUGAUUUGAAGGACGGUAUUCCCAGAUUCGGUGUCGUUUUCCCCUGGCCAGUCUCCCUUCCUCUUUUCUUAUACCUCAUGAGGGAAAAUGAACAGCCACAGCCAUAGAGAAGUGAAAUCCAUCGGCUAUGCCCAGUUUCUGCCCAAUAUCCUUAGUUGUUAAUGUCAUUCAUUUUUUUGGAAGCCACUUCAAACCCUUUUUGGAAUAAAAAUAGUUAUUAUACAUAA